RNAcentral lists this ribosomal RNA (967 nucleotides) under Duganella sp. Its description in RNAcentral is "bacterial SSU rRNA". It matches the Rfam family "Bacterial small subunit ribosomal RNA", at positions 59 to 1024 of the family's 1533-position model. The record is from RNAcentral. Lineage: Bacteria; Pseudomonadati; Pseudomonadota; Betaproteobacteria; Burkholderiales; Oxalobacteraceae.
CAGUCGACGGCAGCGCGGGGCAACCUGGCGGCGAGUGGCGAACGGGUGAGUAAUAUAUCGGAACGUACCCUGGAGUGGGGGAUAACGUAGCGAAAGUUACGCUAAUACCGCAUACGAUCUAAGGAUGAAAGUGGGGGAUCGCAAGACCUCAUGCUCCUGGAGCGGCCGAUAUCUGAUUAGCUAGUUGGUAGGGUAAAAGCCUACCAAGGCAUCGAUCAGUAGCUGGUCUGAGAGGACGACCAGCCACACUGGAACUGAGACACGGUCCAGACUCCUACGGGAGGCAGCAGUGGGGAAUUUUGGACAAUGGGCGCAAGCCUGAUCCAGCAAUGCCGCGUGAGUGAAGAAGGCCUUCGGGUUGUAAAGCUCUUUUGUCAGGGAAGAAACGGUGGUUUCUAAUACAGAUAUCUAAUGACGGUACCUGAAGAAUAAGCACCGGCUAACUACGUGCCAGCAGCCGCGGUAAUACGUAGGGUGCAAGCGUUAAUCGGAAUUACUGGGCGUAAAGCGUGCGCAGGCGGUUUUGUAAGACUGUCGUGAAAUCCCCGGGCUCAACCUGGGAAUGGCGAUGGUGACUGCAAGGCUAGAGUUUGGCAGAGGGGGGUAGAAUUCCACGUGUAGCAGUGAAAUGCGUAGAUAUGUGGAGGAACACCGAUGGCGAAGGCAGCCCCCUGGGUCAAAACUGACGCUCAUGCACGAAAGCGUGGGGAGCAAACAGGAUUAGAUACCCUGGUAGUCCACGCCCUAAACGAUGUCUACUAGUUGUCGGGUCUUAAUUGACUUGGUAACGCAGCUAACGCGUGAAGUAGACCGCCUGGGGAGUACGGUCGCAAGAUUAAAACUCAAAGGAAUUGACGGGGACCCGCACAAGCGGUGGAUGAUGUGGAUUAAUUCGAUGCAACGCGAAAAACCUUACCUACCCUUGACAUGGCUGGAAUCCCCGAGAGAUUGGGGGAGUGCUCGAAAG